This 433-nucleotide unclassified non-coding RNA is filed under the name Anneissia japonica. RNAcentral's name for it is "uncharacterized LOC117110080, transcript variant X5". Lineage: Eukaryota; Metazoa; Echinodermata; Crinoidea; Comatulida; Comatulidae. The record is from RNAcentral.
CUGUAAAUCUACAAACUCAUGUUACGGUGGUAUUUUAUUUGUGGUUGUGUCAAAACACUUCGUAAAUUUACUAUACUUUGACGAUUUUUAGAAUUAGGGCGUAAUAUUUUUUAAAUUUUGUUUUUGUUUUUGUUUUUUUUAAAUAAUAAUAAUAAAAAUAAUAAAACUUUGAAAAUGUCACUGGAGAUAUCACGUGAUGAAUAAACCGCGCGCUGGAAGAUACGCUGAUGUGCGCCAAAAAUAUCUGUCGACCAACCAACUCCUGUCGGCCGCAGACAACAUCACGCCAUCACCAUCUCAUCUUCCUUGUACUUCUCUGGUCCUCACGCUUCGUAACGUGCUGGGGUUGUCGACUGUUUCUCUCAUUAAUAGUGCUGAAAGUCUUCAAAAACGAGGACACAAUUGCUCCAGAUGAAUUUGACACAGAAACCCU